CAGAAACGAGAAUAGGCAAGGAUCUGCUCUGGUGUCUGGAAAAUGUGGGGACUUCUGGAAGCUGGGAAUUUAUUUCCUGCACAGCAUGGCCUGUUUUGCCCAUGGAUAGAAAGAGGCAACCAGCUCCUGAUGAAACCGUCCCUGUGGGGAGUGCAGGGGCAGAUGGGGACUCCAUGGAGGCAGCCGACCUGCGACAGCCUUCAGUUCCGACAAAGACACAUCACCUUGCAAAUGACACUCUGCCGUCUGGUUUCUGCGUUUUGUUGUAACAGGUUAAAUGAACCCCUGGGCUUAAUUUUCCCCCUACUUAGUUCUGUGGCAGCAAAGAAAAGUGACUUGACUUCAUUUCUCAGCUCAAAACUUCUUAAGCUGUGUCUCUUCCUCAUCACCCCUUUGAGAAUAAAAGUCUAGAAAUGAAACACAA
This is a long non-coding RNA of Piliocolobus tephrosceles (Ugandan red Colobus), 424 nucleotides long. RefSeq lists it as uncharacterized. NCBI's taxonomy places the organism in Eukaryota, Metazoa, Chordata, Mammalia, Primates, Cercopithecidae. The record is from RefSeq and is a predicted model, not a curated record. The transcript has 2 exons.